Molecule: ribosomal RNA, 406 nt
Filed under: uncultured bacterium
Lineage: Bacteria
Description: partial 16S ribosomal RNA
Rfam family: Bacterial small subunit ribosomal RNA
Source: RNAcentral
AUUGAACGCUGGCGGCAGGCCUAACACAUGCAAGUCGAGCGAUCGGCGUACGGGUGAGUAAUGUAUGGGGAUCUGCCCGAUAGAGGGGGAUAACUACUGUAAACGGUGGCUAAUACCGCAUACUAUCGGAUGUACCCAUAUGGGAUUAGCUAGUUGGUGGGGUAAAGUCUCACCUAGGCGACGAUCUCUAGCUGGUCUGAGAGGAUGAGCAGCCACAAUGGGACUGAGACACGGCCCAGACUCCUACGGGAGGAAGCAGUGGGGAAUAUUGCACAAUGGGCGCAAGCCUGAUGCAGCCAUGCCGCGUGUAUGAAGAAGGCCUUAGGGUUGUAAAGUACUUUCAGCGGGGAGGCGUUACCCGCAGAAGAAGAAAAGGCUAACUCCGUGCCAGAAGCCGCGGUAAUUC